UACAGAGGUGGCAAGCGUUGUUCGGAAUUACUGGGCGUAAAGGGCGCGUAGGCGGCCCGUCAAGUCCCGUGUGAAAGCCCCCGGCUCAACCGGGGAACUGCACGGGAAACUAGCAGGCUUGAGUUCGGGAGAGGGAAGCGGAAUUUCGGGUGUAGCGGUGAAAUGCGCAGAUAUCCGAAGGAACACCGGCGGCGAAGGCGGCUUCCUGGACCGACACUGACGCUGAGGCGCGAAAGCUGGGGGAGCAAACGGG
RNAcentral lists this ribosomal RNA (253 nucleotides) under uncultured bacterium. RNAcentral describes it as "partial 16S ribosomal RNA". It matches the Rfam family "Bacterial small subunit ribosomal RNA", at positions 524 to 776 of the family's 1533-position model. The record is from RNAcentral.